Molecule: transfer RNA, 72 nt
Filed under: Aspergillus egyptiacus
Lineage: Eukaryota; Fungi; Ascomycota; Eurotiomycetes; Eurotiales; Aspergillaceae
Description: tRNA-Thr
Rfam family: tRNA
About the family: Transfer RNA (tRNA) molecules are approximately 80 nucleotides in length. Their secondary structure includes four short double-helical elements and three loops (D, anti-codon, and T loops).
Source: RNAcentral
GCCCCUAUAGAUCAGUGGUAGAUCGUUUCACUUGUAAUGAAAAGGUCCGUCGUUCAAUCCGGCGUGGGGGCA